GAUGAACGCUGGCGGCGUGCCUAAUACAUGCAAGUCGAGCGAACAGACGAGGAGCUUGCUCCUCUGACGUUAGCGGCGGACGGGUGAGUAACACGUGGAUAACCUACCUAUAAGACUGGGAUAACUUCGGGAAACCGGAGCUAAUACCGGAUAAUAUAUUGAACCGCAUGGUUCAAUAGUGAAAGACGGCUUUGCUGUCACUUAUAGAUGGAUCCGCGCCGCAUUAGCUAGUUGGUAAGGUAACGGCUUACCAAGGCAACGAUGCGUAGCCGACCUGAGAGGGUGAUCGGCCACACUGGAACUGAGACACGGUCCAGACUCCUACGGGAGGCAGCAGUAGGGAAUCUUCCGCAAUGGGCGAAAGCCUGACGGAGCAACGCCGCGUGAGUGAUGAAGGUCUUCGGAUCGUAAAACUCUGUUAUUAGGUAAGAACAAAUGUGUAAGUAACUAUGCACGUCUUGACGGUACCUAAUCAGAAAGCCACGGCUAACUACGUG
Molecule: ribosomal RNA, 497 nt
Filed under: uncultured bacterium
Lineage: Bacteria
Description: partial 16S ribosomal RNA
Rfam family: Bacterial small subunit ribosomal RNA
Source: RNAcentral